Thalassophryne amazonica is the source of this 118-nucleotide long non-coding RNA. RefSeq lists it as uncharacterized. The transcript is spliced from 4 exons. Lineage: Eukaryota; Metazoa; Chordata; Actinopteri; Batrachoidiformes; Batrachoididae. The record is from RefSeq and is a predicted model, not a curated record.
GUGAGAGUUGGGGGUACACCCUGGACAGGAUGCCAGUCCAUCACAGGGCCACAUGUAGGGAGGCAAACACAUUCAGACUCGCACGCACACCUAGGGACAAUUUCAAGCUCCCAAUUCA